UAUUACCUUCCUCAUACCAAAGAUUUUUUUAAAUGAAUUAUUCCCAUUUAAUAUAAACAUAUAUAGGUAAUUCAAUAGUGUUAUCUCUCACGCUUCAGAUAAUUAUAAGAGCAUCAACAUAUGAAUAAAGUAACAUAUGCUGUUACUGAAACAGAAAGUAUUUAUGAACUCUAAGAGGAUACUGAGCGAUCGUCACACUCACGCCAACAUAAAACACAGGCCAACCUCGGAGAUCCGGAGUUCAGGGAUCGGAGGGGAGCCAGCUUCAGUCGACAUUUAAUUAACCUUUUUAUAACAAGCACCCACUGUAACCAAAACGUUAACACUUAUUAAGAUUGUCAAGUGUCACCGGAUUGGGAAUUACAGAGGCUGUAUUGAAAUCCAAGCGAGGGUGACUCCGACACCGCCCGCGAGGGAGUCAGAGAGGAGCAGUAAUUGAACCUCAGGCCGAUCUUCCAAAAACUGAUGGGAUAAUCCGAUGUGUGUGUCACCCGAUCUUUGACUCAACAAAGUCCAUCGUCGGCGCGACAAAGGAAGCAGUUAAACAAAUGAAAUAUGUAUCAAUUAGGAGGAAGCCGGUCCCGGGCGUGCAUAACCCAUGAGGCUAAUGAAGUGAACUGCGUGACCACAACAUUCAAACAUUUCUUUUCCCGAGCGGCCGGAGCUGCAGCUGGUGUGCUUCUCACCGCUCCCGCUACCCUGAUGCCUUGAAUCAUCCACUGUUCAAAACGAAACAUCGACUGUACCUCAUACAUUAAAUAAGUCUACUUC
Long non-coding RNA from Danaus plexippus (monarch butterfly), 771 nucleotides. RefSeq lists it as uncharacterized. The transcript has 3 exons. The record is from RefSeq and is a predicted model, not a curated record. NCBI's taxonomy places the organism in Eukaryota, Metazoa, Arthropoda, Insecta, Lepidoptera, Nymphalidae.